GUCUACGGCCAUGCCACCCUGAACACGCCAAGUCUCGUCUGAUCUCGGAAGCUAAGCAGGGUUGGGGCUGGUUAGUACUUGGAUGGGAGACCACUUAGGAAUACCAGGUGCUGUAGACG
Molecule: ribosomal RNA, 119 nt
Filed under: Pteropus alecto (black flying fox)
Lineage: Eukaryota; Metazoa; Chordata; Mammalia; Chiroptera; Pteropodidae
Source: RNAcentral